UCGCAUCUUACGAUGGCAGUCUCAUUAGAGUCCUCAGCUUAACCUGUUAGUAACUAAUGAUGAGGGUUGCGCUCGUUAUGGCACUUAAGCCGACACCUCACGGCACGAGCUGACGACAACCAUGCAGCACCUACACAUUUGCCCCGAAGGGAAGACUCGUCUCUGAGUCGGUCAAAUGCAUUUCAAGCCCGGGUAAGGUUCCUCGCGUAUCAUCGAAUUAAACCACAUGUUCCUCCGCUUGUGCGGGCCCCCGUCAAUUCCUUUGAGUUUCAUUCUUGCGAACGUACUCCCCAGGUGGAUUACUUAACGCUUUCGCUAAGCCGCUUACUGUGUAUCGCAAACAGCGAGUAAUCAUCGUUUACUGCGUGGACUAC
This 374-nucleotide unclassified non-coding RNA is filed under the name uncultured Bacteroidales bacterium. RNAcentral's name for it is "contains 16S-23S intergenic spacer region". Lineage: Bacteria; Pseudomonadati; Bacteroidota; Bacteroidia; Bacteroidales. The record is from RNAcentral.